RNAcentral lists this unclassified non-coding RNA (1007 nucleotides) under Leishmania donovani. Its description in RNAcentral is "gene:LdHU3.28.0130(CDS-product:hypothetical_prote in_conserved)". The record is from RNAcentral. Lineage: Eukaryota; Euglenozoa; Kinetoplastea; Trypanosomatida; Trypanosomatidae.
GUGAGGGCAUUAUUUGCGCACCAUCACGUGCCCCUCCUUUUUACGCAGGUGCUGUGGGCUCUGUCUAGUGCCAGGAGAGAGCAUGAAGCAGCCGUAUCGAUCAACGUGGCGGGUGUAUCUUCCGGGGUUGUUUGUGAUGUCGAUUUUUAGUGUUGUGGUUUAUUUUAGUCGGACGCGCUCAGAUGUGGUGAAGUACGGUUACGAUUUUGUACCCAUCUACUCUGAGGACGGCAAGCUUGAGGGCUUCACACAUCCCGUGCUCGUGAAAGCGGGCAACCAGUACCGCGAGAUGGAAGAAGAACGGAGGUUGCGAUGACAGCUUGGCUUCCUCUCUGGCUCAUGCUCUACUCGCACGUGAGCCUGGAUCUAUUGGGGGUGAGGAGGUUGGGCGGUGCGCACACUCUGCGCACGUAUCGGCCUACCUUGUAGGCCUUUAUCUGUGCUUGUGUAUCUUAAGGAAGAGGGUGCUUUUUUUUUAGCGAAGACGUUUCUCGAUCUUUUCUGGGCUAGCACAAACGCCCUCUGGCUGACCAAAGACGAUCUACUCGCUGCUGCUGUGCCUUUCGCACCCAAAUGGGUUUGGUCCCCGCGGAUGUGUGCAACUGCGUGCAUGGUUGUCAUGGACACACCUCCACGCUGAGGAAUGGACACUCUAAGGGAGUCUUUUUCUUGCCCCAUCUGGCCUGGCGGUCUGCAAGGAGGUCACGUGACGACGAGAUGACCAAAAGCAAGCAACGGACCGUGACUGCUGCGGUGAGCCAGCGUUGAGGGAGAACUACUUACUAGCGAUUUGUUACUCUCGUUGCUGCGUCGCAUUGUCUGUCGCAUCCCCGAAUGAUUGUAAAGGCGGAACUCACAAUAUUCUUCUCCUUUACUGCUUGUUCUUCGCAAACCUGUUUCCUUUGCUUGCGCGGUCAUGUGUGUGUGCGGGUGUGCACUCUUUACUCGCAACUGGUCGGCUCUCGCCCGUGCUUAUCGGAACGAGGUGAUCUGAACACACUUGCCAG